Salmo salar (Atlantic salmon) is the source of this 2523-nucleotide non-coding RNA. Lineage: Eukaryota; Metazoa; Chordata; Actinopteri; Salmoniformes; Salmonidae. The record is from RefSeq and is a predicted model, not a curated record.
GCUCUGCUCGCUGUGAUAACUAGCGGCCAGGCGGCCCACUCUGUGGCCGAGGUAGAGCACCUCCCCUGUCCUCUCCCUCCUCCCCUCCCACCACUGUCCCCCCCAGUCAGUCCUCAGCCUCCUAACCUCCAGUCGCAUCAGCCCAGGACAGCCACCACCGAUGUGGGAGCCCCAGCAGCCCUCACUCAGGAUGGUCACCCAACUACUACUGCUAACCUCUGUACUCCUCUCCACCUGCCAAGUGGCGGAAUCGCAGGCAUGCCCCCAGACACCAGUCCUCAGCGUCGACAAGCGUGUGUUCAGCAAGGGAGUUGAGGUGACCGUUGGGUGUAAGGCCCCCGAGGAGUCCGGCGCUAUCAUCUUCUAUUUCUACAAGAACUCCAAGGACCUUUGAGGAGAUGGUCAACGCCAACCAUGUGUGUUAAUAUUGGGUGGCGACUAGGCUGUGAUUCAACAACGCUGGCGUCCACAAGCUACACUGUGACUACAGGGUCAUACUGCUGCCAGACUCGGUACAAUCCAAUGCCAGCAACGAUGUGGUUGUCACUGUAAAAGCUUCCAGACCAAUUUUCCUCGUUUUGUCCUCCAGAGCUGUUCAUCACACCUGUAAUCUCUGUCCGACCACACGGACCAAUGAUCAUCGAAGGGGACAAUCUGGACAUCUCCUGCAGUGUCAGUGGUAACCUCCAGAACAGCUCUGGGCUCAAAGUUUACCUGAGCAAGGGACAGAAUCUGCUGAGUACUGGUCAAAGUAAAGCCAACCACAGCAUGAGAGCCCUGGCCGAGCACUCUGGGGAGUUUGAGUGCAGUUUGGAGAUGGGAAAUGUUGUCAAGCGAGCAACGGAAAACGUGACGAUUACAGCUGAGUGAAUGGAUUUAUAAGGAAUCUGAAAUGUAGAAUGUGGUGUUAGCUGUUGAAAAAAAGCUUAUCAAAAAAGCUAUUAUCUGUUCUAUCAGUGUAUAACCAAGUCGCAGCUAGGGUUAAAUUCUGGUGAACUUUCCUUAAAUUCCUAGGUUUUCCAGAAAUCCUGGUUGGAAGUUUCCUGGAAUCAGGAGCGAAUAAACAGGAAAUCCAGAAUCUUCCAACCAGGAUUUCUGAAAAACCUGGCCAAUCCUAUUCACAGCUAUUACCUUAUCACUGUUCAUCACAACAUUUCUCGUGAAUGUUCUUACAUGUACUCGGCCUCCAAGAGUGUUGAGUAAUCAAUGUUUUUUUAAUCCACCCAACAGAACUGUUUUCCCAGCCAGUUCUGACCAUGUAUCCGACAGAGGUGUUUGAAAGGGAGAAACUCAUGUUAACCUGCAAGAGUACCCACUACUCCUCUGACAGAAUCGGCGCUUCGCAUGUGAAAUACUCCAUUUACAAGGACAAUUACACACUGACGCCAGGCAGCUUCAAUGGGAUAUAUGUCGCCGUAGGGGUACGGAGCACGAAUGGGAAUUACUUAUGUAAAGCAGACGCCAGGAUGAUCUCCAAGUACAGUGCAAAGCUGCCUGUCCAAGCAAAAGGUACUACUACAGGCCAUAAGGCUUGUAUGUGUGACCCAAAGCCAUCUUCCCUAUCACCAUCCAGCACUACAGCGACACACAGGACUAUAAAUGCGAGGCACAGAACAACCCCAAAGUCGACGCGUUGGUCAGCAAAAAACAACACCAGUCAUAGUGCCUCUGUCCAAUCCAGGACUCAUCGUCACCCCAGACCUGUCGGGGGUCACAGAGGGAGAUGAGAUGUAUCUGAUCUGUGGGGUGGAAGGUUCCCCGCCUGUCACCUUUAAGUGGUACCAAAGUGGGAACGUCCAGCCGCUGUUCACCACCUCAACCCAAUCCAGCGCGUCACAACAGAUCAAGGGAGUGGGGAAUGAGCACAGUGGCACCUACUACUGCAAGGCCAUCAACUACGCUAGCAUGGUCCAGAGUCAGCCUGUUACCGUAGAUGUGAAGAUGGCAACGUGGAAGAAAUGUUUGAUCGUGGCCUGCUGUCUGCUAGUGGUGGCUGUCCUGGUCCUCGCCUGCGUGUUGCUCUACAAUUCCAAGAGAGGUAGAGAGACUUACAGUCCCCCAGCAACACAGGCCUUUGCUGGUGUCUGACUAUGUAUGAACAGCCUCUUCUCUCUCUCAUCCCCUUCUCUUUAUUGUAUAGGUAAAAGAGAGAACACAACUGAACUGUCAGUGUGAGUUGGCUUGCCUAUUUCCUAAGUAGUUUUCUGUGAUGGUUGCUAUCGAGGAUGAUAGCAUUAGCUGGCGCCAAUUGUUUUUGUUCAGUGCUGUCUUUGUCUUUGUCCUGUGUUCUCACCUCAUUGUGUCUGCCUGUCUGACUGCAUGUCUAUUGAAUGAUGGAACUAGCCCAUUUGUCUAAUAGUCUGUUUGUCCAAAAACAAUGUGUGCGUGUCUAAAUGCAUAGAUCUGAUUCUGUAUAUGCAGUACACUAGUCUAUCAUCAAUAGAAAUGUGUAUAUAUUUUUGGUUUGGUUAAUUGAUUGAUUUUAAAGAGGCACUUCUAGAAUAAAACUUUUUUUUAGCAAUG